Molecule: non-coding RNA, 310 nt
Organism: Pelobates cultripes (western spadefoot toad)
Lineage: Eukaryota; Metazoa; Chordata; Amphibia; Anura; Pelobatidae
Source: the annotation of a GenBank genome assembly
CACAACUUCUGGAAUAAAAGGGAAUCAUGACGGAAUAUUUCCGUCAUGUGUCCUUAAGGGGUUAAUGAGGAAGUGUUUGGUCUACAUCAGGCGUGUCCAACAUGUGGCCCUGAACUGUUUGUAAUGCGGCCCAAGUUGCCGUUCGGGCUGCUGGUUGGUGAGGGAACCCAUUACUUAUGGUGCUUUUCGCGUGCCCUGCAGUAAGCCAGCAGCAUGGAUAUGAUGUCAUCCCGGCAUCGGCAUCAAUACUGGGCACGGAGGACCUGUGCAGGAACAGCAUAGUGAUCCCAUCAUGGCAGCAACCCCUUAC